UACGGAGGGAGCUAGCGUUGUUCGGAAUUACUGGGCGUAAAGCGCGCGUAGGCGGCUUUGUAAGUUAGAGGUGAAAGCCCGGGGCUCAACUCCGGAACUGCCUUUAAGACUGCAUCGCUUGAAUCCGGGAGAGGUGAGUGGAAUUCCGAGUGUAGAGGUGAAAUUCGUAGAGAUGUGGAGGAACACCGAUGGCGAAGGCAGCCUUCUGGGCCAACACUGACGCUCAUGCACGAAAGCGUGGGGAGCAAACAGG
Molecule: ribosomal RNA, 253 nt
Filed under: uncultured bacterium
Lineage: Bacteria
Description: partial 16S ribosomal RNA
Rfam family: Bacterial small subunit ribosomal RNA
Source: RNAcentral